Molecule: unclassified non-coding RNA, 1023 nt
Filed under: Hevea brasiliensis (rubber tree)
Lineage: Eukaryota; Viridiplantae; Streptophyta; Magnoliopsida; Malpighiales; Euphorbiaceae
Source: RNAcentral
CUUGAAAUCACCUCACUUGAGUGUUUUUUAUGAGCUAACCCCACUUGAAUCAUUAACGUUCUAAAGGUUCUGAACUACAAAUUGCCUUUAACCCAACAAUGCUUUUUUGUCUUAAUUAUUAUUUUAUUAAACCAAGUUAAAAGCAAGAAGUCAUUGACAUAUUAGCUUAGAAAAAUAAACAACUAUCUGUUAUUAAUAAAAGGAAAUAGGAUUUAUAACUUUUAAUCUUUUCCCUCUCAGCUAUUAUUCUUGCUAACGGAAUCAAACAAAACCUUGAAAAUAGACAUAGAAAGGGCUUAGAAACAAAAACUGACUUAAAACUCCAGCUUUUACUCCAAAAGAAGGUACCCUUUAAGGACAAGAUUAAGUUUUUGAUGUUUCUUCUUCAAUAUCUAGAAGCCUCUCUCUGGGGCCUGGAUAGCAAAUUAAGUUCUCAGUACUCUCCAAUUUCGAGAGAGAAGAAAGUUGCUAAUUCAAAAGACUUUAUAGAGAGAGUAAAGGGGUUGAACAACCGUUAAUAAAGAAAGAAAGAAAAGGUAAAAUUCAAAUUUUCAAAGAGGAGUGAAUUGUGAAACCAGAAAAGCUUUUCUUGAACAACAUAUAAAUAAAUAUAUAAUAGCUUUCAAAAUUUCUUAGCUUUGCCUAAAGGAUAAAGUUGAAGGGGGAAUUUGGCCAUCUCAAAAAGUAAAAGUUUGCAUAGAAGAUUUCAAAAGCUGAUUAAUUCAUUUUCAUAGCCUUAACAGAGACAGCAGUAAAGGCGAGUAGGAGUUGGAAAGGAGACUGUAGACCCAUGUGGCUGUAAUGGAGGGUUUACAUUGGCAUCGCAAGAAAAAUCCAGGGUCAGAAAUGACUGUUUGGAUGAAAAGAAAAAUAGAGAAAAUAUUUGAUAAGAAAGCAAAGCGUGGAUGCUUGGUGUUGUCCCUUUCUGGGACAAGGAGUUUCAUGCUUGAUUGACAUUACCAAACAAUACUUUUAAAUCAGUAUUUAAAAGUCCCUAAUUUUGCGGUUGCUAUAUUUUUCACG